AGGUGGUGCCCUGUUCCUUGUUGGGCCUCCCUGCAUACCUGCGGCACGUUGGAUGAUUACCGGAGGAGUAUUUGAGCAGCGGGCUGUCACUACCUCGACGCCAGAGUGUUUGCCAGUUUUGGGAAGCCUUUCCCGUGUAUCUGGAUAACCUGGACCUUCUCCCCAUGGAAGGAUUACUGAGGACACACUGAGCAGGGGUAAACCUCCAUAUGAUCGGUUCAAGUCCUCUUCAGAAAACCAAGUGACAGUCUGCUCCUUUACUCCUCUGGGUCCAACGUAAGUCUACCUUUCUGAUCUCUAACGAGUUCCCUUUCCUCUGGAUUAAUUCCCCACAAACUAGAUUCAAGGAUUAACAAGAGCCCCCUUCAAACACUUUCCGGUUCCGGUUCACCAGUCCACCCAGUUCCAGCUCCUACUUCUUUGUUUUAUCAACAUUCAAUAAACCUG
Long non-coding RNA from Cyprinodon tularosa, 447 nucleotides. RefSeq lists it as uncharacterized. Lineage: Eukaryota; Metazoa; Chordata; Actinopteri; Cyprinodontiformes; Cyprinodontidae. The transcript has 3 exons. The record is from RefSeq and is a predicted model, not a curated record.